This 1524-nucleotide ribosomal RNA is filed under the name Salmonella enterica. RNAcentral's name for it is "bacterial SSU rRNA". It matches the Rfam family "Bacterial small subunit ribosomal RNA". The record is from RNAcentral. RNAcentral also lists the same sequence under 2 other names. Lineage: Bacteria; Pseudomonadati; Pseudomonadota; Gammaproteobacteria; Enterobacterales; Enterobacteriaceae.
AAAUUGAAGAGUUUGAUCAUGGCUCAGAUUGAACGCUGGCGGCAGGCCUAACACAUGCAAGUCGAACGGUAACAGGAAGCAGCUUGCUGCUUCGCUGACGAGUGGCGGACGGGUGAGUAAUGUCUGGGAAACUGCCUGAUGGAGGGGGAUAACUACUGGAAACGGUGGCUAAUACCGCAUAACGUCGCAAGACCAAAGAGGGGGACCUUCGGGCCUCUUGCCAUCAGAUGUGCCCAGAUGGGAUUAGCUUGUUGGUGAGGUAACGGCUCACCAAGGCGACGAUCCCUAGCUGGUCUGAGAGGAUGACCAGCCACACUGGAACUGAGACACGGUCCAGACUCCUACGGGAGGCAGCAGUGGGGAAUAUUGCACAAUGGGCGCAAGCCUGAUGCAGCCAUGCCGCGUGUAUGAAGAAGGCCUUCGGGUUGUAAAGUACUUUCAGCGGGGAGGAAGGUGUUGUGGUUAAUAACCGCAGCAAUUGACGUUACCCGCAGAAGAAGCACCGGCUAACUCCGUGCCAGCAGCCGCGGUAAUACGGAGGGUGCAAGCGUUAAUCGGAAUUACUGGGCGUAAAGCGCACGCAGGCGGUCUGUCAAGUCGGAUGUGAAAUCCCCGGGCUCAACCUGGGAACUGCAUUCGAAACUGGCAGGCUUGAGUCUUGUAGAGGGGGGUAGAAUUCCAGGUGUAGCGGUGAAAUGCGUAGAGAUCUGGAGGAAUACCGGUGGCGAAGGCGGCCCCCUGGACAAAGACUGACGCUCAGGUGCGAAAGCGUGGGGAGCAAACAGGAUUAGAUACCCUGGUAGUCCACGCCGUAAACGAUGUCUACUUGGAGGUUGUGCCCUUGAGGCGUGGCUUCCGGAGCUAACGCGUUAAGUAGACCGCCUGGGGAGUACGGCCGCAAGGUUAAAACUCAAAUGAAUUGACGGGGGCCCGCACAAGCGGUGGAGCAUGUGGUUUAAUUCGAUGCAACGCGAAGAACCUUACCUGGUCUUGACAUCCACGGAAGAAUUCAGAGAUGGAUUUGUGCCUUCGGGAACCGUGAGACAGGUGCUGCAUGGCUGUCGUCAGCUCGUGUUGUGAAAUGUUGGGUUAAGUCCCGCAACGAGCGCAACCCUUAUCCUUUGUUGCCAGCGGUCCGGCCGGGAACUCAAAGGAGACUGCCAGUGAUAAACUGGAGGAAGGUGGGGAUGACGUCAAGUCAUCAUGGCCCUUACGACCAGGGCUACACACGUGCUACAAUGGCGCAUACAAAGAGAAGCGACCUCGCGAGAGCAAGCGGACCUCAUAAAGUGCGUCGUAGUCCGGAUUGGAGUCUGCAACUCGACUCCAUGAAGUCGGAAUCGCUAGUAAUCGUGGAUCAGAAUGCCACGGUGAAUACGUUCCCGGGCCUUGUACACACCGCCCGUCACACCAUGGGAGUGGGUUGCAAAAGAAGUAGGUAGCUUAACCUUCGGGAGGGCGCUUACCACUUUGUGAUUCAUGACUGGGGUGAAGUCGUAACAAGGUAACCGUAGGGGAACCUGC